GUCUAGGGCCAUGCCACCCUGAACAAGCUCUGAUCUUGGAAGCUAAGCAGGGUUGGGCCUGGUAAGUACUUGAAUGGGAGACCGCCUAGGAAGACCAGGUACUGUAGGUG
This 110-nucleotide ribosomal RNA is filed under the name Pteropus alecto (black flying fox). The record is from RNAcentral. RNAcentral also lists the same sequence under 1 other name. Lineage: Eukaryota; Metazoa; Chordata; Mammalia; Chiroptera; Pteropodidae.